UAAGUAUCAAGUUUCCAUUGCUUCUAGGAUUCUGAGGUUACUAGAGAAUAUUGAGGAGGUGGAAAGGAAAAAAAGUGGCAGUGGAGAGGGUUCUCUAAGUGAUAUAUAAUUACCUGCUUCACAUACUUUAUUAUCUGUAUUAUUAUUUGACAUGUAUUGUAUGAAAAGUGCUGAAGAGCAAUGUUGCUCAAUCUUUAAUGUGCAUAUGAAGCACCUGGGAUCUUAUUAAAAUGAAGGUUCUGACUCAGUAAGUUAGGAGUGAGGCUGGAUAUUCUACAUUUCUAAUAAGCUCCCAGGUGAUGUUGAUGCUGCUGGUCCACAGAUUGCACUUUGAGAAGCAAUAAAGGAUGCAAAAGAUUCAUGAGAUAUAGUCUCUAAUUCUCAUGAAGUUCACAGUCUCAUAGGAGGUACAGACCUAAACUGGAAGAAGACAAAUAAAGGCAGCAAAGGCUGAAGACUGCAGUGAGUGCUGAACACCAAGCAGCCUUGAGGUCUUAGCAGAAAAUGUGCAUCAUGGAUGCGUUUCAAAACCUUACUUCAAGUGCCUUAAGAAAGUAACGUAAAAGAAAUCAGGAGGACCUGCAAGAAAUCAUUCAGUGGGUCCCAAAAGGAAUUAAACAUAUUCUCCCAGAUUUCUGGCCCCUUUCCUGCUCAUUUUCUUAGCAUAGUGGAAGAAUUAGGACUUUGUUUACUACCAGCAUACUUCUGCUUUCUUGUCCCAGAGACAGCAGUAAAGGAAGAUGGACCCCAGAGAUAGAAACAUGGAAAAUGCUUACUUCCUUUUGGUUUCUGAAAACAGCUUCCUAGACUGGGUUAACAAUGUCAAAGCUGUACUUUCAAAAGGCAGCUUUACAAACCUGGAUAUCUUUGCAAUGAACCUGCAAGAUCACAGGAUGGAACCGCAUUGGGAUAUCUUCCUGUGAGUGUGUAUGAGGAAGUCACUCUCAGAACAUCUGCUUCGAGGAAAUAUACGCAAUAGCUGGACUAACCUGCAGCCAAGAGGUGAACAAUCUUCUUGCUAAAGGAGUUUUCUCUGAAUUUCAUCGAGAUCUGACUAUUUCUCAGAAAGAAGAUUCUGUCUCAGUGUUGCUCCCUUGUCUUUUUUCCCAAAUUGAUGAUAUUACGGUGACAGAUUGCACUCUACAGAAGGAAACACAUGGGAUUUGGAAGAACUCCAGGCUUUAGGCUUUGGGCAAUGCCUCCUAAGUCCAGGUUUCUCAUUUAUAAAAAAAAGGAUAAUAAAAUCGAU
RNAcentral lists this long non-coding RNA (1249 nucleotides) under Equus asinus (donkey). RNAcentral's name for it is "lncRNA (ENSEASG00005029624.1)". Lineage: Eukaryota; Metazoa; Chordata; Mammalia; Perissodactyla; Equidae. The record is from RNAcentral.